This 453-nucleotide ribosomal RNA is filed under the name uncultured bacterium. RNAcentral's name for it is "bacterial SSU rRNA". It matches the Rfam family "Bacterial small subunit ribosomal RNA", at positions 340 to 789 of the family's 1533-position model. The record is from RNAcentral.
UACGGAAGGCAGCAGUGGGGAAUAUUGCACAAUGGGCGCAAGCCUGAUGCAGCCAUGCCGCGUGUAUGAAGAAGGCCUUCGGGUUGUAAAGUACUUUCAGUCGUGAGGAAGGUGUUAAGGUUAAUAACCUUAGCAAUUGACGUUAGCGACAGAAGAAGCACCGGCUAACUCCGUGCCAGCAGCCGCGGUAAUACGGAGGGUACGAGCGUUAAUCGGAAUUACUGGGCUAAAGGGCACGCAGGCGGUUAAUAAGUUGGAUGUGAAAUCCCCGGGCUUAACCUGGGAAUGGCAUUCAAGACUGGUUAGCUAGAGUCUUGUAGAGGGGGUAGAAUUCCAUGUGUAGCGGUGAAAUGCGUAGAGAUGUGGAGGAAUACCGGUGGCGAAGGCGGCCCCUGGACAAAGACUGACGCUCAUGUGCGAAAGCUGGGGAGCAAACAGGGAUUAGAUACCCGU